Molecule: ribosomal RNA, 253 nt
Filed under: uncultured bacterium
Lineage: Bacteria
Description: partial 16S ribosomal RNA
Rfam family: Bacterial small subunit ribosomal RNA
Source: RNAcentral
UACGUAGGGGGCAAGCGUUGUCCGGAAUCAUUGGGCGUAAAGAGCGUGUAGGCGGCCAGAUAAGUCCGCUGUGAAAACUGGAGGCUUAACCUCCAGACGUCGAUGGAAACCGUAUGGCUAGAGUCCGGAAGAGGAGAGUGGAAUUCCUGGUGUAGCGGUGAAAUGCGCAGAUAUCAGGAAGAACACCCGUGGCGAAGGCGGCUCUCUGGGACGGUACUGACGCUGAGACGCGAAAGCGUGGGGAGCGAACAGG